This 264-nucleotide non-coding RNA is filed under the name Clostridiales bacterium. RNAcentral's name for it is "T-box sequence". It matches the Rfam family "T-box leader". From Rfam's summary of the family: Uncharged tRNA acts as the effector for transcription antitermination of genes in the T-box leader family. Lineage: Bacteria; Bacillati; Bacillota; Clostridia; Eubacteriales. The record is from RNAcentral.
AUAAAGGCAUUGACGAGGAGGAGUACAUUCUUUUGGAUGCAAAGAGAGGGAGCGGCUGGUGAAAGCUCUCGUGAAGAAAGUAUGGAAAGUAGCCUCUGAGCUGUGAACCGAACGGAGAUUUUGUCUCUCAGUAGACUUCAACGGAAUUUCAACCGUCAUCUGGAAAACGAUAUCGGAUAGUUUUUUCUGUCCCGCAUCGGCAAAGCGCAGAGAAUUUUUCUCUGAAUUUGGGUGGUACCACGGACAAUAAUGUUCGUCCCAAGC